UCAAUAAAUAUAAUGUCCCAUAACGCCAAAGUACAAAAUGUUGACAAAGUAUACUUUCCAAAACGCAUUCGAAAAGUUAUCGAAACGCAUCGCUAGAUAACACAUGAGCG
Molecule: long non-coding RNA, 110 nt
Organism: Rhagoletis zephyria (snowberry fruit fly)
Lineage: Eukaryota; Metazoa; Arthropoda; Insecta; Diptera; Tephritidae
Source: RefSeq, a predicted model, not a curated record